Molecule: ribosomal RNA, 594 nt
Filed under: Ulva rigida
Lineage: Eukaryota; Viridiplantae; Chlorophyta; Ulvophyceae; Ulvales; Ulvaceae
Description: eukaryotic LSU rRNA
Rfam family: 5.8S ribosomal RNA (bases 184-338)
Source: RNAcentral
GGUGAACCUGCGGAGGGAUCAUUGAAACCGAUCAAUCCACUCACAGAGCACCAGCGGGGUUCGCCCCGCCGUAGUUUUGGAUCCGCCGGUCCUCGCGGGCCGGUUGGAGCCUCCAACCCAGCAAACCCUCUGCCCUGAAGCAGCUUCGCACGGGGNACACCCCCUGCGACGUUAACCAGAGACAACUCUCAACAACGGAUAUCUAGGCUCUCGCAACGAUGAAGAACGCAGCGAAAUGCGAUACGUAGUGUGAAUUGCAGAAUUCCGUGAGUCAUCGAAUCUUUGAACGCACAUUGCCGGUCGACUCUUCGGAGGAGACCACAUCUGCCUCAGCGUCGGAAUACCCCCUCACCCGUGCGGACAUGCGUGUCCGCACAGUGGAACUGGCCCCCCCGGGCGCGACCUCGUCGCCCGGGCCGGCUGAAAUGCAGAGGCUCGCGCGCGGCCCACUCGUGGCCCCGACUAGGUAGGUAGCUCGCUACUGCUAGGCGGCGGCUCGGCGCUCGCGUGCUGUGGGCCCGAAAGGAUAACCCCUCAUUCAUUCGACCUGAGUUCAGGUGAGGCUACCCGCUGAACUUAAGCAUAUCAAUAAGC